GUUUGUGGAGAAGCUCAAUCAAUCUUGUGGUAAGCUUGUUAUUCCAUAUUAUUUUGGAUGAAAUAUUCAAGUUUUUGUUAGAGAUUUUGAAACCUUGAAGUAAGGAAAUUUAAUCCCGUUUUUGGAGCUGGCAGCAGUUAGUAUAUUGACCAUAACUUUUUAUCUAUAAGGCGGAAUUUGGUGAUUCAAAAUGCUGUGAAAAGAUAAGAAAAUUACCCACAACUUUUGUGUUUUGCGAAAAUUCUAAUUCCUCUGUUUACUAUGUCAAAAACGGACUGCAAGGCAGCACAUAGCUGCUGUCCAGAAUUUUUUUCUACUUAAAAUUUUGCAAUAAUGGUGACCUAUUUAGCCCCGUUUUUGUUCGUCAUGAUUUAUCAUUUAUAUCGUUAAACUCCAGGCCUUAAGUGAGUAUUCCAUUGUGUAUUUAAGGUGCAAGAGGCUCUUGUAAAAGCUAAGGAAGUCGAUAUAAUUGCUUGAUCGUUGCCUUGGGGAUUGUAACUUCUUGGUGUUUUUCUUUGAGCUUUAGAGUCACUAAAGCUCCAAGGUCAUGGCAGAGUAUCUCGGAGGCUCUUGGUAGGAUGAUACAGUCAGUGUAUGGUCAGCAAGCUCCAUUCCUUCGGACUUGCGUAGGUUAAGUAUAUAUAUGACAUAUAUGUUAUGUAUUCAUUAUGUCUGACGAGUAUGGCGGGGCCCAAUCCCGACCAGUAUACACACGUUCACUCUUAGAGGCUCAUAGACAGAUGUAGGUAUGUGUAUAUCAUGUGUGGCCUUGUCGGCCCCAGUGAAGUUAUGAUGUCAUUGUUCUAACCUUGCCAGUCAUAUGUUAUAUGUAUAAGGAUAGUGGCGGCCUUGUCGACUCGCGUAUGUAUAUGUGUCCAUACUUAUAUGUGUGUGUGUGUGCGCGCGCGCGGGGGCGAUGUCUACUGUCAUGUUGGGCCUUUUCUGCGGCGGAUGACAUAGCAUAGUUUUGAGACAUAAAUUAUGCUUCUAAGCACGCCACGUGACGCUCAGUGAGUCAAGCCGGGUGCCCGUUAUGCCCCUCGGUUUGGGGUGUCACAAAUUGGCUUUCAAUUAAGGUCAGAAUUGACCAUUUCAAUUGUAGCCAUUAUCAAUUUUAUAAUAAACAGUUUUAGGGAA
Long non-coding RNA from Lycium ferocissimum, 1137 nucleotides. RefSeq lists it as uncharacterized. The record is from RefSeq and is a predicted model, not a curated record. The transcript is spliced from 2 exons. Lineage: Eukaryota; Viridiplantae; Streptophyta; Magnoliopsida; Solanales; Solanaceae.